Sus scrofa (pig) is the source of this 4074-nucleotide non-coding RNA. The record is from RefSeq and is a predicted model, not a curated record. Lineage: Eukaryota; Metazoa; Chordata; Mammalia; Artiodactyla; Suidae.
GGUGGGAUUUGGGAGGAACCAACUCCACAGAGGUGCACAAUUAGAGUUUCCCUUGGUAUCUGCGGGGCCAUUGGUUCCAGGACCCCACCCCCAGUGCAUGCCAAAAUCCUCAGAUGCUCAAGUCCCUUACGCAAGAGGGCGGAGCAUAAAUAAUCCAGUUAGCAUUCGUAUCCAUAUCCUUGAAUUUCGCAUCUGCGGAUUCAACCAGCUGCAGAUCAUGGGUCGAAUCACCAGUCUCUUGGUAGAAUCUGCGGAUGAGAAACCCAGGGAUAAGGAGGGCGGUGAAUUUAGUUUGAAGUAAGAGCCACUGCUGAACGUAGGAGAGCUUGGACUUUUGAAAAGCAGAGUGUGGAAUUCUUCAUUCUUGGCCUUCCAUUUGAAGCUGGAGCCAUUUUCAAGGAGGCAGCCUGAGAGAGCAAGGCGUUGAGACCAUUUCGACUGUGGACAUGACUGAACCCAGGGAAAACCAUUUUUUGAAUGCCUACAAUGGAAAUGUGCUGACCUCUGAUAACCGAGUGUACAAGAUGUGUUCUUUGGGGCACAAUUCAGAUAUUGCAACUUCUGUAUGUGCAGAAACUUUGUUUUGUCCUCGACCAUAUCUCCAGCACAUGGAACCAUGAUAGCUCACAGAAGGCUCUUGACAAAUAUGCAUUGACUGAAUGGAUGAAUUAUACAUUGACCUCAAAAGAUGGGUUAUUGCCAUUUCUUCAGUUAUUUUGAUAAUUCCUAUUGAUGGCUUAUACUCUGAAUUUGAAGAAGUCUGCUUUCAUUAAGCAUAAUACAUUAAACACAAUAAGAGCAUUUUUUGUGCUGUUUUCAGAAAUAAUCAUGUAGUGUAUAUUUAAUAGGAAAAAAGUGAGAAAAACAAUGUUACUAUUAACUCAAUUCUUGCAUAAAAGAAUAUCAUUUUAGGCAGAUAAAACAAUGUACUCAUCAAACCUGUUUAAUGAUCUAGUCAGUCAUAAUCACUUGGGUAGAAAUUGCCAGGACCAAUUAUUUUUUCAAGUCUUUAUUUUGUACCUCUUAUGUGUGUAGCACAGAGCCAGAUGUUUGGGGAGACAGGAAAUUAUUUUAUUUACAGAGCCUUUGUUUAUUCUUUCAGAGCAGCACAGUCUCAUCUAUGUCCCAUAUACUACAUGCUCAGUGUGAUGGCUUUUUGAUGUUAAUUUGUCUUGACUGAACUUGCAUCCCCAGAAUUCUCUAUCUCAUUAUGUGUCUAAUUGGGCCAGGUUAUGAAAGAUACCCUUUCAUGAGAAUAGGAGAGUAGUGGUCAUUUUGUCGCAUAUGCAUAACUUCUACUCAUUAAAACCCUAAGCUAGGUUCUGCCAUGAAGGGAUUUUGCAGAUGUAAUUAUGGUCCCUACUCAUUAGACUUUUAAUUAAUAAAAAGGUAGUAUACCUGGGACCUAACUGCAUCUGAGUAGAAGCCUUUAAAAGAGGACUUAGGAUUUCCCUAAAGCCAGGACUCCAUACAACGUCUGACUCUGUAAUUGCUCUUCUUUCCUUCUGGAUCUUCCUUCCUGACCACCACCUGUGAACAGAGAACUUUAACUUGUGCCUAUGGGGUUUUAGCCUGUGUGUCAUCUCCCCUUCCUAACUGCUUGGCCCGUGCACUUUGGAUUUGAUUAGCCAGCUCCCACAGUUGUACUAUGCAGUCCUUUGUAAUAAAAUUAAAAAAAAAAAAUCUCAUAGGAGAACUGGUCCAUUGAGAUGAAGGCAUAGACAAUAGUUCAGCAUCAUCUUUAGUUACAAUCUAAAAUGUGUGAUGAUGACAGUAAGCAUUGUAGGAUGUAAGGAUUGUGGGAGGUCAGGGUGGCCAAAAGUUAGUGAUAAAAUUUAAAAGGAAAGAAAAAAGAGAGAGAAAGCAUUGUGUUUAGUGUUUAGCAGAGUUACUGAGAUUAAAUCAACCUGUGAAUCCAGGGGAUAGUAAACUGAUUUCACUUUCAACCAGCAGCCUACUUAACUUUCACCUUAGUUGUCCUUCUACAAGCAGCUAGAAAGUCUAAUAAUGUGUUUAAGUUAUUGUGAAUUAUUACCAAGAAAAUGUCAAGUAUUCAACCUUAACAAUCUUUAGUUAAAAUAGUAAUGUUCAUUUUUACUGUAACUUUUCAGAGUAGAGUCAAGAAUCCUGGGUAAAAUAGGGUCUUUUGAAAAGAAAAAAAUAAAAGCUCAGGAGAAAAGCAAAAAAAAAAAACAAAGAUUUUCCUCCCUGCCCCUUCAAAAUAAUCUUUGGCUGUGACAGCCCUUCAGAGUGGCUAGGUCAUGAGUUUUGAAGAAUGUGCCAGCACACAUUUAUUGAAAGGGUCAGGAGAGUCAAAGAUGGCAGCUUCUAUGGGGUUUGUGUAUGUGCAUGUGGGGAGGGUGGUUAUGGUGAAAGAGCAGCUGCUAAUAUUUGAGGAAAGGUCACCACAGAAGACAAGAGUUUAUUCUGAUAGAAACCUAGAGGCAUUGGGGUCGCUGUCUAGUUCAAGAAAGAUUACCUUUGUUUUAUUGCUAACACAUUGGAAGAAUCACUUUGAGCAUAUAUUCUUGCUGUAAAUAUAUUUUUCAUUCUUGUUUGUGAGCAAGAAACAAUUCUUUGGGGUGGAAAUGGAGAAAAGCCUCCAAAUUUUUUAUUGUCUUAAUUUUAGGAAGCAAGCACCAUGCUGGCAGUUGUGGGAUAAAUAACAACAUAUUUAACAUAAUAAAUACUAUACAUACGGCAUUUUGUAGCUUAUGAAACUCUGGCAUAUAUGUGACAUAAUUUCCUUCUAGGGUCAGUAGAACCUCUUAGCAAUUCACAGUAAUUCUGAUGCAGGCUUGGACUGUCUUUUACAUAUGCAUAGUUUAAGGCUUUCAUUUCUCUGAUUAGAAUGCCUUUUCUUGGAAUGGUUUACCAAAUAUUAACCCCCUGAAAUACUUCUACAUCAAUUCAUAAGUAGUUUCAUUUCCUAACGUGCUGAGUAUUCGCCAUCUCCAAUGGCCACAAAUUAUCCACCUGGGGCCCUUGACUUUCACCAUCCAUCAGCCAAAGGGUUACUAUCUAGCCCAGCCCAGCAGGGAGCUACCCAAGACCUAGCUCUAAGCUUUCCUGGUUUCUCCUCUGAUUGGCUGUUGCCUAGGCCAUGCUGAUUGUUAAGUGUCUUUAAUCAAACUCCCUAGUUACUAAUUUUCAUCUAUUUUCCAUCUUUCAAAACUGUUGAAAUCUGUCAUCUCAGAUGUUUUUCUUUCUAGUUUCUUUUGUUUUGGGGCUUAUGCCUUAAAGGCCCAAUGCUGUGAUUUCAGUGAAGUGUCAGGAGGAGAAGAGUUAAACACAUUAGUCAGUAUGCUUCAUUUAACCAUAGUUUGAUUAAUAAUCUAGAAGGAUGCUGAAAACAUCUGUUGGAAUAGGAUUUAUAUAAAAGCUCACUGUGGAACCUUGCUAAUAUGUGCUACAUGAAAAGAAAAUGAACUCUUUGAUCCAAUAAAUGUGGAAAUGUUGGGUUAAGUAAAGUCAAACAUCCUUUUCCUCCUCAGCUUUUUGGUACCUUUUCUAUGCUAUUCUUCAGUUAAUUUCCAAGUCAGAGUUAAAAUAUGCUGCAUUCUCACACUUUUUUUCUCCUCAGAAUCCUCUUCCCUUUUAAAUGGAACACAGAUGUCCUUGUAGGGUAAUAACUCUUAUCCUCUUUAUUUUAGAAAGUGAUACCUAAUUUGGGGGGACUUGUGCUAUAUCCUCUGCAGUCUAUUGGGCAUCUAACACUCCUGUCUAAAGCCUCAUGUGAAUUUCAGCAAAGAAGCUAGGAACUAUAUUUCAGAACUCCCUUCCCUGAGCUGUCCCAGAUUUGAGCUUUCCCAUGAAAGGACAUACUCUUUUAGGACAUGGUGCAACCAGAUGUACAGUCAGACCUGAGCUCUUAAGAAACACAAACUAAGUGGAUUCACUCAAAGUCAGUUCAUAGGACAUUCUCAGAGAUACUAGAGAUCUUCAGGCAAAACCUUUAAUCAGUAGCUUAAGUGCUUUGGGCUGAGACAACCUCUUUAACUUCUUGAGGCAACUUCCCUAAUUUUUGGUGAAAGCUUCCUUGAUCUCUGUUCUCCUAUUUCUUCUAGGAAAAAU